Molecule: ribosomal RNA, 253 nt
Filed under: uncultured bacterium
Lineage: Bacteria
Description: partial 16S ribosomal RNA
Rfam family: Bacterial small subunit ribosomal RNA
Source: RNAcentral
UACGGAGGGGACUAGCGUUGUUCGGAAUUAUUGGGCGUAAAGCGCACGUAGGCGGUUUUGUAAGUCAGGGGUGAAAUCCCGAGGCUCAACCUCGGAACUGCCUUUGAUACUGCAAGUCUCGAGUCCGGAAGAGGUGAGUGGAAUUCCUAGUGUAGAGGUGAAGUUCGUAGAUAUUAGGAAGAACACCAGUGGCGAAGGCGGCUACCUGGCCCACUCUUGACGCUGAGGCGCGAAAGCUAGGGGAGCAAACGGG